Molecule: small RNA, 255 nt
Filed under: Arabidopsis thaliana (thale cress)
Lineage: Eukaryota; Viridiplantae; Streptophyta; Magnoliopsida; Brassicales; Brassicaceae
Description: ATSL156160
Source: RNAcentral
AUAUUUAUAAGUUUAUCUACACUUUCUUUUAACAACUCAUAUUUUCUCACACUCUUUUCAAUAUAUAUAUGAAUUUCUGUCUUCACAAUUUUUUACGAAAAGCUAUCACUCUCCUAUUUUUUUGUAAGCACUCAUUUUAUUUGUUUCAUUCUUUCUUACAGUGUCUCUUUCCAUCCUCUUUUGAUUUUUUCUAAGCAAUAUGUGUCAUACCUUUUAAACUCACAUGCUCCAUAUUUCUUCUUCGAAAAUCUCUUU